Molecule: small nuclear RNA, 23 nt
Filed under: Arabidopsis thaliana (thale cress)
Lineage: Eukaryota; Viridiplantae; Streptophyta; Magnoliopsida; Brassicales; Brassicaceae
Description: snRNA_06962
Source: RNAcentral
UCUUUAUGUAAUCUGGUCUUCGG